RNAcentral lists this long non-coding RNA (1179 nucleotides) under Astyanax mexicanus (Mexican tetra). Its description in RNAcentral is "lncRNA (ENSAMXG00005009269.1)". Lineage: Eukaryota; Metazoa; Chordata; Actinopteri; Characiformes; Acestrorhamphidae. The record is from RNAcentral.
UUCUGGUCCCCCGUCAACCCUUUCAGUCCAACUAUGGCGAGGACAAGAGCGGCGAUGCAAAGCAGGGCUUUUGUUCGUAGCCUCGGCUCAGUUUUAGGGUUGCCAGGCAGAACCCGGCCGGAAUCCCUCUCGCCUCUCCGCCAGGACUUUAUUCCAUAUCAACACCACCUUAAAAAUGAUGCAGAACUCGCUGAGAUACGUCCUGCUGCUGAUCGCCCUGCACACAGUCUGGAGUGAUAGCUGUUCUCUGGAGAUAACGCCGGCGAGGGUGGUGGUGGCGUUUGGGGAGCCGGUGACGGUCAACUGUGUGGCCUCCAGGCCGGUGCGAGUGCUGGGAUGGGAGUCGGCCAUCGGGGCGUCCCACACUCAGCGGGACACCAGCGUCCAGUGGCAGGUGGACAGUCUGAUCGACUGGAUCGAGGAGCCGAUCUGUUACGGAGUUUUCUUCACCGCACCCAGACAGUGUGAAGAGAAACUCAACCUGGUUCUGUACAGUACGUUCAACACUUCAACACUUCAACACCUUCAACACCACUGAUCUGAUGCCAAUAUCUACAGUAACAUAUCAAUUUCUAACUAAAGUUGCUAUAGUAAAGCAUUGAUGACUGCUCAAUCAGUCCAAUGUAAGCCAGCUGGGACAGACAGGGGCUGCUUGUACUGCUCAACCUGGUUCUCUACAGUAUGUUCAAUACUUACAACACCACUGAUCUGAUAACAAUAUCUACAAUAUAAUAUUGAUUUCAGCUCUGAUACACACUUUAAAAAAAGUUGGGACACAAUCUCCCUGUGUAUAUAGAGCCCCUUAGUUUCAGUGUCCCUUUGUUUUAUUGUGUGCUCUGUUGUCCUAUCAGUGUCCUUGCUUGUUCUCAUUUUUUUUGUAUGUUAUUUCUUGUUUUAUAGUAUUGCUAAAUCAGUGUAGUUUUUACAUUUAGUCUUGUCUUUGUCUGUGUAAAUUGUUAUACCUGCACUUACAGUACAUCCACCCUCUCACCCCUCAACACCCCUCACAACAGCCAUGCCCUUGUAAUGUGUGCAGCAUGUGGUUUAGCAUUGUCUUGCUAAGGGCUAAAGUACUGUCACUACGAUCAGAAGCUCAGUUCUGUGUCUGUGAGCUGAUGUAUCAGAACUGAGUCGCUGCGCUUUCCUCUGAGCGUUAGCGCUGUGAUGCUGCUCGGCAAU